UAAUAAAUAAAUCUGUCAAACAUUGAUUGCAGGUUUUGCUUCUGAGAUAUGAACAGACCAGGUGGCCAUUCCUACCAGGAGAAGUGAGGCUAAGUGGCGUGGCUGUCCUGGGCAAGGAGGUAAGAAAUACCAGUCUCCAAACAUCCAUGUGUACAUGAAGUGGUGUGGAUUUUGCUUUCAGGGAGAAAAACUGUGGAUGACCUUACUUGUCAUGGGGAGAGUGUCAAAAGCAGACUUGGGACAAAUAACAUGGAUUUGCCAGCUGCUCGAUCUAUUGAGGACUCCAGUGACAAGAUGCUGUUAUUUUAAGGUAAAAAUACACAAACAAAAAAAGCCACUUCAAAUAGUUCAGCUAGUCGCAAAUCUGAAUCAAGUCAGCAGACCAUCAGACAUGGAGGUAAGCAUUUACGUUUCCCUGGUUGACAAAUGAAUCUGAGUCUAAAGCAACACUUGCAGACCAAAUAAAUAGGUCAUGUUGCAUCUCCAGAUGGAAGGAGACCAGAGGGCUGUUGUGUUCGAAAAGGAAUUAAUGCAAAUCCAACUAGCUGAACCAGGCACAUGAGAGAAAUGCAGCCGAUUUGAACGUUGAGGUUGUGAAAACUUCAGGAAGUUGCUAGAAGAUCUGGGAUAUCUACAGAAAGGAAACAGGCAAAAUUCAUCACUGCUACCAAGAGGAGGAGAGUUACAGGUGCUCAGGAUUUGAGUAGAAAGGAACAGGGACGGAGCUGAACAGAUCCAACACCUUAAAGGACGAUUGGAUCUCAAAAUAUGAAAGACUCUCAUUCAAUAAAGCAACAGGAUUGGCUCUGAGGAGCGGUAAGCAACAUUUGAUGAAGGAAACAGGCAGCGUGGACAGUAUUCAAGACACAAUGUUUAAAAGUUGCUGCUGGGAUGGAAGCAAAGAAGAAAGCCCUGGAGACGGGUUAGUGCUGGGACACAGGCACUAUCCUGGAGGGGCCUGGGACAGGGUGUGUAACCAUAGCGACCAGAGGGUCCUUUCCCCUCUGUGGUCCUGGCUCGCAUGCACAGGGUGAAACCGAUUGCCAUGUUUGGGGUCAGGAAGGAAUUUUCCUCCAGGGCAGAUUGGCCAGAGACCCUGGAGGUUUUUCGCCUUCCUCUGGGGCAUCGAGCAGGGACCAGCCCUUAGGGCCAUUUAGGAACAGACAUAAUAAAAUCAAUCAGAGAGAA
Long non-coding RNA from Mauremys reevesii (Reeves's turtle), 1188 nucleotides. RefSeq lists it as uncharacterized. NCBI's taxonomy places the organism in Eukaryota, Metazoa, Chordata, Testudines, Geoemydidae. The record is from RefSeq and is a predicted model, not a curated record. The transcript has 4 exons.